GGCUUGGCAGGUAAUCUACAGCACAGAGAAGUUUACAUUUCGAAAAGAUAAACCUUUGCAUGCUUGGAAAUUGUCCCUAAUUGUUCAUAAUUUCUAAGUACUCAAAAAUGACAAAGUAAACAUUGUUUUUCGGUUUCAUUGUUCAAAUAAAACGUUAAAUUUUACUUGAUACUAGUCUGCAAUUUAUCGGAUACCGGUAUCCGGAUCCAGCACAUGCCAAUAAUUCUGUUGAGAAGCACUGGUCACCGUACUAACAACCCUCUCACGAAAAUAUCUUCCUUUA
This is a non-coding RNA of Paramuricea clavata, 283 nucleotides long. The record is from the annotation of a GenBank genome assembly. NCBI's taxonomy places the organism in Eukaryota, Metazoa, Cnidaria, Anthozoa, Malacalcyonacea, Plexauridae.